AAGAGACAAAAAAGUACACAAACAAAAUACAUUUGUUCUCCGCGCGUUUGCUUUGUGCGUUGAUUUUUUUCCACUUCUCACUUAAUUAAAAAGUGAGAAAUAACCCUCCGAAUUAAUAAAUUAAACGCCAAACAACAGACUCCGAAAGAGUGACAGGGAAUCGAACCUUGAAAAGUUAGCGUCGUGCACUGAAAUAAAAGUGGAACAAAAUUGGUAGAAAAAGAAUUAGAAGAAACUGGAAUACAGAUAGAACAGGAAGAAUUAGUUUAUGAGGAAAUUCAACCAAAUAAAUCGUCAUUAAAUAUGUACUUUUAGAAAAUCUACAGCAGAAGAAUGCCGUUGUUCGUGAUCAAUUGAACGCCCUUGCAAAAAUAUAAGCUGAUCAAACUAUUUUAAUAAAACAGCUUAUAAAGGAGAAGGGGGAGAUGAAUUCUGUUCAGUUGAAGAAAAUGGAGGAGAAUGUUAAAAUCAAUACAGACAUUUAUAUUUCAACAAUAAAAUCAAUUUUACAGCCAGCUGGAGUUCCCGUUAACUUAAAAUUCAUUUUAAGCGAAAAAAAUAGUACUGGCGUAUAAUGUGGAUGGGGUACAAGGGAAGAAAGCCUUCAGGAGCCACUCGGAUUUUUAUGGAGCAUUGCUAGAAUGUAUUCCUGGAGACGAAGCCCCGGAAUGCGUACCGGAGAUGCGCAAAGCUAUGCAGAGGGUUAAAAAACGAGUUUUUAAGCAAAGGUGUACCAAACCAAAAAUGAAUUAGAGACCGUGUAGGCUAGGCUAGAUUUUAAUAUAUAUUUUAAUUUUGAAUUAAAC
Drosophila obscura is the source of this 806-nucleotide long non-coding RNA. RefSeq lists it as uncharacterized. The transcript has 5 exons. The record is from RefSeq and is a predicted model, not a curated record. Lineage: Eukaryota; Metazoa; Arthropoda; Insecta; Diptera; Drosophilidae.